Molecule: ribosomal RNA, 266 nt
Filed under: uncultured archaeon
Lineage: Archaea
Description: partial 16S ribosomal RNA
Rfam family: Archaeal small subunit ribosomal RNA
Source: RNAcentral
AGUCACUGACAUUAGAUACCCCCGUAGUCCCGGGUGUAAACGCUGCAGACUUGGUGUUGGAAGUCCUUUGGGGGCAUUCAGUGCCGGAGAGAAGUUGUUAAGUCUGCUACUUGGGGAGUACGUCCGCAAGGAUGAAACUUAAAGGAAUUGGCGGGGGAGCACCGCAACGGGAGGAGCGUGCGGUUUAAUUGGAUUCAACACCGUAAAACUCACCAGGGAAGACUGUUACAUGAAGGCCGAGAUGAAGACUCUGCUAGAUUUUUCAG